CCUGGGUGCUCUGUCACUUGGCUUCAUGAGGAGUGACGAAUGGAUGCUCUGGCUCAUAGUGAGCUCACAGUGCAGCUGUUUGAGACAGUCCAUAUAUUCUGCCUAAUAUUAGAGGAUCUGACCUGCUUUGGGUUCUCCAAAAGGCAGAUGCCUGCUGGUGAUCUGCAGGAGGAUGUGUGCAGCUGACCCAGGACUGGGCUCAUGUGCCUUACUGGUCAGGGGGUUUGGAGAGAUGAUAGAGCAGCAGAAGUUUUAAGACAAGAAAAGAGAACGUGGGCUUAAGCUGUCAGGAAUAGGGAAAAGGUGCAUUUGUCCAAUAAGAGCUCAGUUAUGAAUUGCAUUUUAAAACCUCAAGUUUCUUUAAGUUCUAAUUUUUUCAGGUGUUUGAGGAGUAGAGGCAGGGCUGCCCCCCAGUAGAGGACAAACAGGUAACCUCAGUAAUCCCAAUCCAACAGGCACUGGGCAGGGAGGCUCAGAUCACUGAUAGUGAGCCCUGUCAGCAGCUCUAGACAAAGCAAGGGUGUGAAUUCAGUCUCAGUGCUACCCAUGAGCAGCAGGAGACAGGACUGAAGACAGGUGCAUCUUAGCAAAGAACUGAAGGCAUAGGCAUGAGGUCAGAAGGAGCCCUGGGAGCAGUGGGUAGGUGUGGUUCCCAGGUGAGGCUGGUCAGAGCAAUUAUGACCCGUCAGUGCCCUGAGCAGUGGUUACAAAUCCUCAACACAGUUUUCAGAAGAAUCAUCAGACUUUUACUAAACUAUUCUGCUGCUCUGAUCCCUACCCAUCACCCAUUUUGUUCUAAAUAGGAGGCUUCCUAAAGACUAUUAAUUUUGGCACCACAUUGUUGUGAGGUACGUGCAGAAAAUGCAGUACCCUGGCAGAGUGAAGGCAAGAUUAAUCUAAUGGUCCCAGUCUGGACUGGAUUUGCCCACCCUAUUGAGCACCCCCCCUGAGAAGGGCUUACCCAAAGGGAAAACAGACUCUUCAGACUGAUUGCACAAGAAGGACAUGAAGCUGUUGGAGCAAGUCCAGAGGAGGCCAUGGACAUGCUGCAAGCCCCUCUGCUCUGGAGCCAGGCUGGCAGAGCUGGGGUGCUCACCCAGAGAGGAGAAGGCUCCAGGGACACCUCAGAGCCCCUUGCAGGGCCUAAAGGGGCUCCAGGAGAGCUGCAGAGGGACUGAGGACAAGGCAUGGAGGGACAGGACACAGGGAAUGGCUUCCCACUGCCGGAGGGCAGGGUUAGGUGAGAUAUUGGGAAAAAAAUUCUUGUCCAUGAGGGUGAGGAGGCCCUGACACCGGUUGCCCAGAGCAGCUUUGGCUGGAAGUGUCCAAGGCCAGGCUGGACAGAGCUUGGAGCAACUUGGGAUAGUGGGAGGUGUCCCUACCCAUGGCAGGGGGUUGAAACAAGGUGGUCUUUAAGGUCCCUUCCAACCCGAAUCAUUUAAUAAUUCUGUUAUAUGGGGAAUAACACAUGCUAUUUUCUUUACUCAGUGUGCUUUCUGAUUCAGUCAAGGGUGAACAGAUGGGUUUUGAUUGCAAUAGUCUGAGAUGCUCGGUAUUUCAAAGAUAAAUAUUUGAGCUUAAAUGUUGCCAAGUAACAAGAUUCCUCUGUUUUUUUUUUUUGCU
This is a long non-coding RNA of Passer domesticus (house sparrow), 1623 nucleotides long. RefSeq lists it as uncharacterized. The record is from RefSeq and is a predicted model, not a curated record. The transcript is spliced from 3 exons. Lineage: Eukaryota; Metazoa; Chordata; Aves; Passeriformes; Passeridae.